UGCAUAGGUCGGGAAUCGAAUAUAUAAUCGAAUAUCGCGUGGCAGGCGAGCAUUCUACCACUGAACCACCGAUGC
This is a non-coding RNA of Cordylochernes scorpioides, 75 nucleotides long. The record is from the annotation of a GenBank genome assembly. NCBI's taxonomy places the organism in Eukaryota, Metazoa, Arthropoda, Arachnida, Pseudoscorpiones, Chernetidae.